UACGAAGGGGGCUAGCGUUGCUCGGAAUGACUGGGCGUAAAGGGCGCGUAGGCGGAUGGUACAGUCAGAUGUGAAAUUCCCGGGCUCAACCUGGGGGCUGCAUUUGAUACGUGCUGUCUUGAGUUCGGAAGAGGGUCGUGGAAUUCCCAGUGUAGAGGUGAAAUUCGUAGAUAUUGGGAAGAACACCGGUGGCGAAGGCGGCGACCUGGUCCGAGACUGACGCUGAGGCGUGAAAGCGUGGGGAGCAAACAGG
RNAcentral lists this ribosomal RNA (253 nucleotides) under uncultured bacterium. RNAcentral describes it as "partial 16S ribosomal RNA". It matches the Rfam family "Bacterial small subunit ribosomal RNA", at positions 524 to 776 of the family's 1533-position model. The record is from RNAcentral.